CACGCUAUCUCCAAGAAAACAGCCAGGCAACUGAAGCAGACUGCAGGCCCUAAAAUUGAAGGGUUGAUAGACUUAAUUGGAGUGGAAGUCGCUGUUCCACAAAUGCUGCUCACCGGGAACUCCAGAUUGCUGCUGGUGUGUAGGACUGAGAGGAUUCGGCUAUUGUGGGAAACCAGGGUUGGGGAAAGUUUCUUCAUCAGGCUGGGUUGUGCGUCUGGCUUGGAGGUCAUGUCUCACUCAGAAACUACCGAAGUCAUGCUAGGAACAGUGUAGAGACACCGGGAUAAUAAAAUCAUUGGGCUGAA
Long non-coding RNA from Chelonia mydas (Green sea turtle), 305 nucleotides. RefSeq lists it as uncharacterized. NCBI's taxonomy places the organism in Eukaryota, Metazoa, Chordata, Testudines, Cheloniidae. The record is from RefSeq and is a predicted model, not a curated record. The transcript has 3 exons.